AACGAACGCUGGCGGCAGGCCUAACACAUGCAAGUCGAGCGAGAUCUUCGGGUCUAGCGGCGGACGGGUGAGUAACGCGUGGGAAUAUGCCCUUCUCUGCGGAAUAGCCUCGGUUAACUUAUCGUAAUACCGCAUACGCCCUUUGGGGGUAAGAUUUAUCGGAGAAGGAUUAGCCCGCGUUGGAUUAGGUUGUUGGUUUGGUAACGGCCUACCAAGCCGACGAUACAUAGCUGGUUUGAGAGGAUGAUCAGCCACACUGGGACUGAGACACGGCACAGAAUACUACGGGAGGCAGCAGUGGGGAAUAUUAGAAAAUGGGGGCAACACUGAUCUAGCCAUGCCGCGUGAGUGAUGAAGGCCUUAGGGUAGUAAAGCUCUAUAAGCUGGGAAGAUAAUGACGGUACCAGCAGAAGAAGCCCCGGCUAACUCCGUG
RNAcentral lists this ribosomal RNA (433 nucleotides) under uncultured bacterium. RNAcentral's name for it is "partial 16S ribosomal RNA". It matches the Rfam family "Bacterial small subunit ribosomal RNA", at positions 29 to 507 of the family's 1533-position model. The record is from RNAcentral.